GGAGUUGUAGCUCAAUGGUAGAGCACUUACCUAGCAUGUGUGAGGCACUGGGUUCAAGUCUCAGCACCA
Molecule: transfer RNA, 69 nt
Filed under: Ictidomys tridecemlineatus (thirteen-lined ground squirrel)
Lineage: Eukaryota; Metazoa; Chordata; Mammalia; Rodentia; Sciuridae
Description: Spermophilus tridecemlineatus (thirteen-lined ground squirrel) tRNA
Rfam family: tRNA
About the family: Transfer RNA (tRNA) molecules are approximately 80 nucleotides in length. Their secondary structure includes four short double-helical elements and three loops (D, anti-codon, and T loops).
Source: Rfam by way of RNAcentral